GACGAACGCUGGCGGCGUGCUUAACACAUGCAAGUCGAACGGUAAGGCCCUUCGGGGUACACGAGUGGCGAACGGGUGAGUAACACGUGGGUGAUCUGCCCUGCACUUCGGGAUAAGCCUGGGAAACUGGGUCUAAUACCGGAUAGGACCACUGCCUGCAUGGGUGGUGGGGGAAAGCUUUUGCGGUGUGGGAUGGGCCCGCGGCCUAUCAGGUUGUUGGUGGGGUGAUGGCCUACCAAGGCGACCACGGGUAGCCGGCCUGAGAGGGUGACCGGCCACACUGGGACUGAGAUACGGCCCAGACUCCUACGGGAGGCAGCAGUGGGGAAUAUUGCACAAUGGGCGCAAGCCUGAUGCAGCGACGCCGCGUGAGGGAUGACGGCCUUCGGGUUGUAAACCUCUUUCAGCACCGACGAAGCGCAAGUGACGGUAGGUGCAGAAGAAGGACCGGCCAACUACGUGCCAGCAGCCGCCGUAA
This 478-nucleotide ribosomal RNA is filed under the name uncultured bacterium. RNAcentral's name for it is "partial 16S ribosomal RNA". It matches the Rfam family "Bacterial small subunit ribosomal RNA", at positions 28 to 523 of the family's 1533-position model. The record is from RNAcentral.